UUAUCAUGUUUAUUCUUACAUCAGUAGAACUUUCGCGGUACAAUAAUAAUUUGGGAUUAUUGUGUGGCCAGUAAUGGAUUAUGUCGCGUGUUUUGUAAUACACGCAUUACUGUAAAAUGAAACGAGGUCAUUCUGUUGUGUACUUUAGUCAAAGGAAGAGAAAGAUGGAGUCCCUUAUUAAAAGAAAAUGAGACUGAUGGGAUUUCGUUUUAAAGGAAGAAGAGUCUGAAGCUAACGUGUAUACCUACGAGAAUUAUGACGAAUCACCAAAGAAAAAGAAUAACUCAAAGUUCUGGUGGAUUGGGUGCAGUGAAUUCGAAAUAUCAACAGCGACCCUCAAAUACAGAAUAUGAAAGAAAAAGACUUUACUAUCUAUGAGUACCAACAUAAUUUUUAAGCAGAUCAAUGGAUUUUGAAUCCAGACCAGACAGUCAAGAAUAUUUACCGCAAAUAGAAAAUUAGCAAAAGUGGCAGCAACACACGUAUGUUUCGAUUGGUGUGAUAGAUUUUGGACAGGAGUAGCAGACUGUGGUGCAUUGAUUCCAAAAUCUUGACAAAACAACAACUGAUAACCUUUUUGUCUCUUUCAAGUAGGAUUGUGCUAUUUUUUUUAAUGCCAGAAAUUAAUAUGGGAUAGUUUGAAAGAAGAACUUUCAAAAUGACACAUAUUAGCACAAGGAUUCAUUGCAAUGAGACAAUUUCAGAUUUUGUGUAUUUUCAACUUUUUAUUUUUUUAUAAACUUUAAAUAAUUUGAUGAACUGCAAGUAUUAUUUAAAUAUGAACACGUAAGUCUCAUGUGUGGUUCAUGUAGUUUUUAACUGCUUUUCGUUUAAAAAGGGGGUUCCCUUAGAAGAAAAUUCAAUCAAGACAUCGAAAUAAAAUAUUGAACUCGAUUUCAAAUUCAUUUUAUUUUCCUAUUUUUGCCGUGUUUUUAUCAAAUCUUAGCAUAUCUUUAAGUGAGAAAAGAAGACUUCUUGAUGCUUAUAGUGUUCCACACUCAUUUUUAAACAUUGUCACAUUUCAUAUGUUAUAUUCUGGCUUUCAAUGUUUUAUGUAUUUUUUGUUUGUUGGUAAACGUGCAAAUUGUGUUGUGACCAAUGUAAUUUAUUAAGCAGUUUAUUGAGCUUGAUUUUGUUGUUCUUUAAACAAUGAAUAACCAUUUUUAUUAAUUUAAAAAUAAGGAGAAAUUCAUCAUCUGUUCAUCUCUAAGGUUGCUUCUACUCAAUGAGAUAUUACCAUUUUUAUAGAUCAAUAAUA
Mytilus trossulus (common blue mussel) is the source of this 1258-nucleotide long non-coding RNA. RefSeq lists it as uncharacterized. The transcript is spliced from 3 exons. The record is from RefSeq and is a predicted model, not a curated record. NCBI's taxonomy places the organism in Eukaryota, Metazoa, Mollusca, Bivalvia, Mytilida, Mytilidae.